This 303-nucleotide ribosomal RNA is filed under the name uncultured bacterium. Its description in RNAcentral is "partial 16S ribosomal RNA". It matches the Rfam family "Bacterial small subunit ribosomal RNA", at positions 507 to 807 of the family's 1533-position model. The record is from RNAcentral.
AGCAGUAGCCGCGGUAAUACGAAGGGGGCUAGCGUUGCUCGGAAUCACUGGGCGUAAGGGGUGCGUAGGCGGGUCUUUAAGUCAGGGGUGAAAUCCUGGAGCUCAACUCCAGAACUGCCUUUGAUACUGAAGAUCUUGAGUUCGGGAGAGGUGAGUGGAACUGCGAGCGUAGAGGUGAAAUUCGUAGAUAUUCGCAAGAACACCAGUGGCGAAGGCGGCUCACUGGCCCGAUACUGACGCUGAGGCACGAAAGCGUGGGGAGCAAACAGGAUUAGAGACCCCAGUAGUCCCUGUCUCUUAUAC